Long non-coding RNA from Etheostoma spectabile (orangethroat darter), 238 nucleotides. RefSeq lists it as uncharacterized. NCBI's taxonomy places the organism in Eukaryota, Metazoa, Chordata, Actinopteri, Perciformes, Percidae. The record is from RefSeq and is a predicted model, not a curated record. The transcript is spliced from 2 exons.
CUUGGGUGCAUGUUCUGGAUCAGAGGAAACAGACGCUCACCUAGAGGAGUGACAGACACAGAGGAUUUAAUACAGAAUGUAAUUAUCACUCCCCAAAGGCCAGUUGCUGAGACAACACCAUGUAAAUACAUGUAUUAUAAACAAUAUACAGUACAGCAGGUAUAGUGGUGGUAUGGUUUUCUUAGCUGGGGAUAGAGGUGGCACAGACUGCAUGAAGGAGGAACAAAAAAAAAAAAAA